Molecule: long non-coding RNA, 201 nt
Filed under: Medicago truncatula (barrel medic)
Lineage: Eukaryota; Viridiplantae; Streptophyta; Magnoliopsida; Fabales; Fabaceae
Description: long non-coding RNA (MTRU_LNC008621)
Source: RNAcentral
GGAGUUUGAAGGUUUUAAGGGGGUGGUUCAAAGGUGGAGAGUGGGUAAUGGCAAGAAUUCUUCUUUUUCGAAUGAUCCCUUGUUGAAAGGUGGUCCUUUACGAUACAAGUUCAACCACUUUUUUUAUCUUCAUGUUGAUAGUAAUAUAACAGUGGCUGAGAUGAGGAAGUUAGGUUGGGGGUUGAUGGAAAUAAGUGGAAG